AUGGCUUGUGCCACCGCUCGGUCCCCGGCUGGCCGACCAGGACAGGUUCAUUUGUAUCUAUCCUGCUUAUUUAAAUAACAAGAAGACCAUCGCGGAGGGGAGGUGAAUCCCCAUAAGUAAGAAAAAUAAAAUGUACUCUAGAGAGUGGAAUCGUGAUGUUCAGUACAGGGGCAGGGUCCGGGUCCAGCUCAAACAGGAAGACGGCAGCCUCUGUCUCGUACAGUUCCCAUCACGUAAGUGAGUAAUGUUGUAUGUAGCAGAAAUGAUACCCAAACUAAAAACAAGGACACAAAAAAUAGGAGGUGGUGACCAAAGUCUUCAGCAAGGAGAGGGAAGUAAAAAAGGGACAGGAAAGAAGAAGUGACCGGAUAUGAGUCAAUCAAGUCUGUGGUACUACUGUGAUAAGACAGUGAAUGAAGGCUUCUAAUUUAUAUCUCAGAGACAUGGAAGCUUUUUAUUUGCAUCAUUUAACCGAACUAUGGAUAUCUCUGCCUCCCAGCUUCAGCAUCAGAGUUGACAAUGAAAUAAAUAUACAUCAGAAGUUUGCAUCUAGCUUUUAUGUAGUAUAAAAGAAAAUUUUUU
This is an RNA transcript of Neomonachus schauinslandi (Hawaiian monk seal), 582 nucleotides long. It is a transcript of the gene named signal recognition particle 19 kDa protein-like, with no coding region annotated. Lineage: Eukaryota; Metazoa; Chordata; Mammalia; Carnivora; Phocidae. The record is from RefSeq and is a predicted model, not a curated record. The transcript has a single exon.